CCUACGGGUGGCAGCAGUGGGGAAUAUUGCACAAUGGGGGAAACCCUGAUGCAGCAACGCCGCGUGAGUGAAGAAGGUCUUCGGAUUGUAAAGCUCUGUUCGCAGGGAAGAAAGUGAUGGUGCGUGAUUGCGCAUCCUCCGCUACCGCCGAGCCAGCAGCCGCGGUCAUACUUCGGGGGAGAGCGUUAUCCGGAAUUACUGGGGGUAGAGGGAGCGUAGACGGUAGAACAAGUCUGGAGUGAAAGGCCGGGGCUUAACCGCGGAACUGCUUUGGAAACUGUGCGACUUGAGUGCAGGAGAGGUAAGUGGAAUUCCUAGUGUAGCGGUGAAAUGCGUAGAUAUCAGGAGGAACACCAGUGGCGAAGGCGGCUUACUGGACUGUAACUGACGCUGAGGUUCGAAAGCGUGGGGAGCAAACAGGAUUAGAUACCCUAGUAGUC
This 440-nucleotide ribosomal RNA is filed under the name uncultured bacterium. Its description in RNAcentral is "partial 16S ribosomal RNA". It matches the Rfam family "Bacterial small subunit ribosomal RNA", at positions 338 to 795 of the family's 1533-position model. The record is from RNAcentral.